GGGCCUAUAGCUCAGUUGGGAGAGCGCUGCGUUCGCAAUGCAGAGGUCAGGGGUUCAAAUCCCCUUAGGUCCA
This 73-nucleotide transfer RNA is filed under the name Planctomycetota bacterium. RNAcentral's name for it is "tRNA-Ala". It matches the Rfam family "tRNA". From Rfam's summary of the family: Transfer RNA (tRNA) molecules are approximately 80 nucleotides in length. Their secondary structure includes four short double-helical elements and three loops (D, anti-codon, and T loops). Further hydrogen bonds mediate the characteristic L-shaped molecular structure. tRNAs have two regions of fundamental functional importance: the anti-codon, which is responsible for specific mRNA codon recognition, and the 3' end, to which the tRNAs corresponding amino acid is attached (by aminoacyl-tRNA synthetases). tRNAs cope with the degeneracy of the genetic code in two manners: having more than one tRNA (with a specific anti-codon) for a particular amino acid; and 'wobble' base-pairing, i.e. permitting non-standard base-pairing at the 3rd anti-codon position. The record is from RNAcentral. Lineage: Bacteria; Pseudomonadati; Planctomycetota.